ACCGAGGUGGUGAAAUUGGUAGACACGCUAUCUUGAGGAGGUAGUACUUUUAUUUAGUAUGCGGGUUCAAGUCCCGUCCUCGGUA
This 85-nucleotide transfer RNA is filed under the name Buchnera aphidicola (Schlechtendalia chinensis). It matches the Rfam family "tRNA". Rfam says of the family: Transfer RNA (tRNA) molecules are approximately 80 nucleotides in length. Their secondary structure includes four short double-helical elements and three loops (D, anti-codon, and T loops). Lineage: Bacteria; Pseudomonadati; Pseudomonadota; Gammaproteobacteria; Enterobacterales; Erwiniaceae. The record is from Rfam by way of RNAcentral.